UUGAAACGAGCCGAGUCGAGCCGAGCCGAGCUGGCCACGAGUCGAGCGAGCUCACGAGCCACGAGUAUUUUGUCCAGCCCUAGACGCGAAGCUGGGCUCUAUAUGGCCGGAGUCGGGCGGUUCCGACGGCGGACCGCUCAUCUCGGGUGGAAUCCCUGCAAAACCAGAGCCAAUGGUGGAGGUCCUCGCGAGCUCAAGCCAGCAACAACGACCAACUCCAUCAACCAUUUGUCCCAAGGUCGCCAUCGCCAAACGCAUCCGCCUGUCUGUUAUGUCCUCCAAGCUCGGUGCCGAGAAAAGGAAGCAAAGCCCGGCGCUGCUGUCGUCUAGGGCUAGAAAUAAAGCUCGAGCUCGAUGAGCUGGCUUGGGCUUGCAGCAGCUCGACUCGGACCGGCUCGACGCUCAGAACGAGCCCGAACCGAGCCUGUUUUUGUGGCUCGUGAAAAGAGCGAGCCAGCUCGGCUCGGCUUGCGAGCUGGCUCGUGGCUCGACUCAACAACAAUUUGUUACAUAAAAUCCUAAUUAGCAUAUAAUAUUACUACCGAGUAGACAAUUAAUUUAUGUUAUUUGAGAUUACUAUACAAAAUUAAUCUAUUUUCUAUAUUAUAUUAGUAAUAUAUCUAUUUUACUAAUUUAAAAUAUGUUUUUAAAAAUAUUUUAAAGAUUUUGUAUUAUAAUUUAGAGAGCGGAUCUACGUUUAUGGCUAGGAUCGUUGGCUCGCGAGCCAGAAGCGAGCCGAGCCGCUUUCCAAACUCGCCGGAUGGGCGAACCGAGCUCAGCUCGUCUCAUUUCCACCCCUACUGUCGUCUUCAUCCUCGAUUCGGUCGACGGUCCCAAAUCCAAGUCGGCGAUGGUGAAUGAAGCAUCCUCCUUUUUCUGUUCUGUUUGAUUUCUCUGUUUUCCCCAGAUUUGUUCAUAGAAUAACCCUUGGGUCAGGGGAUCUUAGUCUAUCGUUCCUUUUUUUCUUGCAAUGGGUUAGGAGUGUUUUAAUGAUUAAUUUGUCAUUUACUAAACAAACUUCAGAUACGUAGCUUUUGGUCCCAUGCCGGGCACCGUGAAGGAAUUCCCUUUUUGUGCUAAUAAAACUAGAGUAUAUCCUCUCAUUUCUGCGUCAAUUUGAGGAGUACGUACAUAUUAUUAUCAUUGAUUCUUUCAUUGACAUAGAAUAAGCCACAUUAUGUCCCUUUUUCUACAUUGAAUGUUCAUCUGUGCUCAAGGCCUUGAUGCCUUCCAUCUGCAUGAGCAGAAUGAAGAAAUUUUGGCCAAAAUGUGCUUGCAUGCAUAUGCUCUAGGAGGUUUAUAAUCAAGGAUAAUUUUCUGGAACCGUGAAAAGGAGCUCAGUCCAUUGAUUAAGGUUUCAAGCAGAUUUAAGGAAUUUUCCUCUAACAUAAGUUAUCUUUGUUAGGCAUCUUGAUAAUUUUGUCAGAUGGCAAGAGGACCUCUAGAAUACAAGAUGGUCCGUAUUUUCAUGUAUAAGGAUUAAGGAAUGAUGAAAAUAUCAUCUGUUUGAAAUGUACAGUUGUUACACCAAUCCUUAUGUGGUAUCAUGGCCACUAAACAUCAUGAAGCAAGCCACUACGGGUACACACGAGCUGAACUGAGCAACAACUUGAGCAUCUUCCCUCCCUAGCCAUUGCAUAUCACACUCACACACUGUCAGCAUGCAUCAUGAUUUAUGAGAUUCAGUGGUCCUUUAUUCCAACAGUUUCCCCCUUGUCUUCUAUAUUUAUUUAAUACCAACUAAGUUGGUUUAGGUGUCACAAUAUUUGCUUAUUUCCAUUUUUUGUUUCAUGCAGCAAGGGACACUCAAAUUCUGAUCUUGAAGCAGUUCUUAGAUGAGAAGGCGAAGAAUAAGUAGAGAAAAUGAAUCAUUAGCAGAAUUAUGAUGGUCUAACUUGUUCAAAACUGCCAAAGUUUAGCUCCUAUGUACACCAAACCAGAAAUCCCUAUAGUUCUCACAUGUGUUACAUUGACCAAGUUAGUAUAAAAACACCAAUAUUUGUGGUAGUUCAUGCCUGUGUUUGUGGUAGUUUUUGUCGUAUGUGUUGUUUAUGUUAUCAGAGAACUCUGUCGCUCUAUAA
This is a long non-coding RNA of Zea mays, 2081 nucleotides long. RefSeq lists it as uncharacterized. NCBI's taxonomy places the organism in Eukaryota, Viridiplantae, Streptophyta, Magnoliopsida, Poales, Poaceae. The transcript is spliced from 2 exons. The record is from RefSeq and is a predicted model, not a curated record.